Molecule: long non-coding RNA, 1823 nt
Organism: Hemicordylus capensis (graceful crag lizard)
Lineage: Eukaryota; Metazoa; Chordata; Lepidosauria; Squamata; Cordylidae
Exons: 5
Source: RefSeq, a predicted model, not a curated record
CUCGGACCUGCGCGCGCACUUCCCAAGGCAGCAGCGUCUGCGAGGGCCGUGGGGAAGGGAGCCUCCUGGCCACGCCGCAUGCCGCGAAUUCCUUCUGCUGCCAACAGGAAGGCAGCCCAGCUGGGCAGAUGAGACAUUUCAAUAGACUAUAAUUGCCAGAAAUGCUUUUUGAUGGUUCCCUCUGUGACACAUUUCAAGUCCGGAGCAGCUCCCAGCUGGAGCUCCAGUUCUGCCCUUGCCUGGAGCAGCGGCAUCGGCAUCACUGCCACCUCUGACACCAACACAGGUCUGCACUCCAGGCACCUCCAGCAUACCAUGCAUCGCCUUAGUUAAGGCAACUUGAAAGCUGCCAGUGAAAAAUACUUUGGAUUCCAUUUUAUAGUUUGUUCUCCAUGUGAUUUUUAGCUCCAGGAAUGAAAAUUUUCUGAAUGUAGAAUGUACUAUGGAGUACAUAAGAAUGCUCUCGAACUGCAGAACAGCCUGGAGUAUCAACAUUACCCUAAGAAUUCUAUGCAAAAAUACAAGUGCAUUCAAAAGACAGCACUUUUUUCAAAGCUGGGGUCAUAAGGAAAGAAGAUGAGAAGGAAAUUGUCACUUCAGCUCUGUGUUUGCAUACAUUUUCUAUUUCAGCUUGGGAAAUAUCUGCAGAAGGAAAAUGUUAAAACGUUGUUGGAUUAAGACUGCAAUUCUAAGCACACCUACUAUGGAGAAAGUCAAACUGAAUGAAAUGGGAUUUACUUAAUAGGGAAGGAGAUGAAGGCGGGGGUGCCUUUUCCAAUCUUGUUCCUGGGACCACUCCAGCCUUCUGCUGAGUCAAACCUUUCGUCCAUCUACCUUCCGUCCAUCACUCAGUCACAACGUUCACUCAGUCUACUCUGACUGGCAGUAGUAGCUCUCCAAGGUUCCAGUCACGAGUCCUUCCCAGCCCGACUUAGAGAGGCUGCCACAGACUGCACCUGGGACCUUCUGCAUGCAAAGCCGACAAUCCAUGAUCUUUUCACUCGUUCCAGUCUUAAUUGUACUGUACACAUUUUUAAAGUGAACAUGGGUACCUAAUAUGUGAACAUUUCUACUGACAUAUACUGUACAAAGAUUGCGCAUGCAGUGAUUAGGACUCUUGAGAUCUGAGGAUCUUCACAAGUGCACUAACAAGUGUUUGGGAGCCCCCCCCCCAAUUUUUUUCGGCACCUGCUAUGCUGCAAAAUAAAAGAUGAUUGCACACAGUCCCAUUCAGACCUUUAUGCCACUGCUGGGAAGGAGGUCAAGACCUUGCGUUUUGCCCUGGUUCUUCCUUUAUAUGGUUCAGACUUGUGCAACAAUAGAAUUUCCUAAUAAAUAAAUAUGAGGACGACAUUUUGGCUGUAAUUCUAAGCAUGCAUACUUGCUAUUAUGCAGGACCAUCUUGAAGGUAACAACGUUUGAUUGUAUUCUGUUGUGUGUGUUUCCCCCGCCCCCCCGAACAGAGAGGGAUAUAAAGCAUAUGUAUGUUGAGGGUUCAUAGAGUAUUGCUGAUCUCAGAACAUUUCAUGCUAGCAAUUCGCUAAUAAUUUGCAGGGGUGUGUGUGUGUGUGUGUGUGUGUGUGUGUGUGUGUGUGUGUGUGAGAGAGAGAGAGAGAGAGAGAGAGAGAGAGAGAGAGAGAGAGAGAGUGUGUCUUCUUGAUAAGACCAGGAGACAAAAUGCUGAUCCACCCAACCUGCACUUUUGGGUCAGUGCAAUGAAAUGUAGAAAGCAAAGCAAUGUAAGAGGGAUUUGUCUCCUUCAUGCUGAAGGGAAGCUAACAUGCUAACAUUUAAGUUAUUUUGGUUGUUCUAAUAAAGGAAGA